This 250-nucleotide long non-coding RNA is filed under the name Elaeis guineensis (African oil palm). RNAcentral describes it as "long non-coding RNA (EGUI_LNC043216)". Lineage: Eukaryota; Viridiplantae; Streptophyta; Magnoliopsida; Arecales; Arecaceae. The record is from RNAcentral.
ACUCAUGGAUUGAGUUUUUGGGUUAGGAGUUGAGUUCGAUGCAAUGGGUACCAAAAGGAUGUCACUUGAUUCUAAAUAUGCAUACUUAAGUGUGAUCAAGGAUGAUUUUAGUUUUGAAGGAGGUGAUGAUUCUAGAGAGGGAGAACCAGAUUCUAGGACUGAAAAAAAUGAAACUCUUAGUUUAUAUGUCUCGGUUAACUCAUCCGCUCUCUUUUUUCUUUUAUCUUUCUCACUCAGAUUAGAACCAGCA